Long non-coding RNA from Mustela lutreola (European mink), 817 nucleotides. RefSeq lists it as uncharacterized. The record is from RefSeq and is a predicted model, not a curated record. NCBI's taxonomy places the organism in Eukaryota, Metazoa, Chordata, Mammalia, Carnivora, Mustelidae. The transcript is spliced from 3 exons.
UCUCUUGCUCUUCACAGUAAUGGGUGGGGUGUGCACUUUUAAGAAGGUGCUGCUUUCACUCUUCCACAGCGGAUGUGCAGCUGCUGUGGAGACUGAGGCCGGCCAGUGCCACUCUGCAAAGUGCACACAGGCAGGAAGUAUGGUUUUAACAAGGACAAAGUGAGUUUAGAGUCCUCCUAUUUCACCGUCUUCCCUGAAAGUCUGUGGUCUUCUGGUCUUCCUCAGCAUAGAAAUCCUUGAGAGCUCUGAGUUCAAGAGUGAUACAGCGAGAAAGGGAACACAAGGAGUGGGAGAGGGAGAAGGAGGCUUCCCGCACAACAGGGAGCCCGAUGUGGGGCUUGAUCCUAGGACUCUGGGACUGUGAGCUGAGCUGAAGGCCGACUCCUAACCGAGCCACCAGGCGCCCCUCAAUUACUGCUUUAUGUUACCCAACUCCUACAUGCUGAUUUGUACUAACUUAGCACUUAAGAUUCUGACUCAAUGAUUCUCUGUGAUUUAUCAGGUUAACAACUAUCUAAACAACUACCUAAAAAAUUAACAUUUUCUAAACAAAAGAAGACCUAGAAUAAGGAUUUUUAACCUGGGGCACACUGAUGGGCUUGGAAGGGGAAUAAACUCGUUGAAAUCAUAUGCAAAUUUCUAUGUAUAUGUGUUUUCCUAGGGAGAACAUUCAAAAUUACCACUGGCUUCUAUUACACAAUAGUUAAUAUAACUAGUUAUAUGGAGAAACAAAGACCAGAAAUCUCUUAACAAAAAAUGAAAUUAUUCUUUUUAUACAUCAAACAGGCUUUGACAUUAACUAUAAUCUUACAGAAAU